CUGUCAAUAUAUUUGUCAUUUUGGUUUUCUAUCUGUAAACAGUACGAGGCUUUAUAAACAGGAUGGUGAUAUUUUGCUGUUCAUUUACCUGAGACCAGAGCAAUGUUCCACAGGUUCUUUCCUCUCCUUUCUGUACUGGUGGUUUCAGGCCUAGCCCAUGGACAAUAUGCAGGACUGGGGCCUGUUGAUUCCUUGAAUGAACACGGAAAUAUAGUCGUUGUAAAACCAGUGGUUUUACCCCAAAGCCCACAUCUAAAUACAGAUGAGAGAAUAAUAGGCUUAACACCUCCACUCGGCGGAACACAGUCCAAACUGGGAAACAUGCCUUGGCACAGCCGGAGACACAGACUCAAAAAGAAAAAAAUAUACAGAGACAGAGGCUACGGCAAAAAGUGGCAUCGGAAAUAUGAAGAUGACAGUCCUUACAACAUUUACAAGAAAUACAGGACUCAAGAGAAAUAACUGGGGGGAAAGAAAGUAAGUGGCACCUAGUCAGGCCAUUGAUACAAUCAACCAUCUUCCCAUUAAUUAUUGUGUUCUUCCCUGUUCCCUGCUUCCAGAUCAUAUGACUAUAUAUAUAUAUAUAUCUAAUGUGGAAUCUGCUCUCCAUUAAAGCUGGGUCCCAGAAGAGGAUCCAGAUUUGGCCCACCAAAGGAUUUUUAUGGCCCCCAGUUGCCCUAGGGCUCCAGAUACAUCAUUUUAUAACAUCAGAAUUUUAAUAUAAUCUGGCCCUCAAACAUGAUGGAGGAGAAUUAUUUGGCCAACUACAUGUAAUAUUGUAAUGUAUUUUGUGCAAAACAAAUUCACUGCAAAAAAGAAAAUGCCCAUUUUGUUCAAUGUGUUUUAUGUGGAAAAAGUUGCUGUGAAAAAACACCUGUUGACUUUAAUGUACUUUGCACACUACCAUGAACACAAAGCCCAUUGGCUCCGUUGUAUUUUGCGCAAAAAUAAAAAGUGACAGCCUGCUGACUUCA
Long non-coding RNA from Xenopus tropicalis (tropical clawed frog), 974 nucleotides. RefSeq lists it as uncharacterized. The record is from RefSeq and is a predicted model, not a curated record. The transcript is spliced from 2 exons. Lineage: Eukaryota; Metazoa; Chordata; Amphibia; Anura; Pipidae.